GAUGAACGCUGGCGGCGUGCCUAAUACAUGCAAGUCGAGCGAACAGACGAGGAGCUUGCUCCUCUGACGUUAGCGGCGGACGGGUGAGUAACACGUGGAUAACCUACCUAUAAGACUGGGAUCACUUCGGGAAACCGGCGCUAAUACCGGAUAAUCUAUUGAACCGCAUGGUUCAAUAGUGAAAGACGGUUUUGCUGUCACUUCUAGAUGGAUCCGCGCCGCAUUAGCUAGUUGGUAAGGUAACGGCUUACCAAGGCAACCAUGCGUAGCCGACCUGAGAGGGUGAUCGGCCACACUGGAACUGAGACACGGUCCAGACGCCUACGGGAGGCAGCAGUAGGGAAUCUGCCGCAAUGGGCGAAAGCCUGACGGAGCAACGCCGCGUGAGUGAUGAAGGUCUUCGGAUCGUAAAACUCGGUUAUUAGGGAAGAACAAAUGUGUAAGUAACUAUGCACGUCUUGACGGUAACUAAUCAGAAAGCCACGGCUAACUACGUG
RNAcentral lists this ribosomal RNA (497 nucleotides) under uncultured bacterium. RNAcentral's name for it is "partial 16S ribosomal RNA". It matches the Rfam family "Bacterial small subunit ribosomal RNA", at positions 28 to 507 of the family's 1533-position model. The record is from RNAcentral.